CGUCAGAGGGAUCAUGACUUUGUGUAUUAUUGUAACUAGGUAAUUAAGAGAUUAUUAAAAUAAAAAUUUUAAAAACUUCAUUAUUAGAAAAAUGUAAUUACAAAUAUAUUUAAUUAUAUAAUAGUGUACAUGUAAAUGACAUUAAAGUAUAUUUUAGUUCACAUUAAUUGCUUGUCAGUACAUUUGGAAGUACACUUUUAUCAUAUUUCAAAGUACAUAUAAAGAUGUAUUAAAGUCCCACUUAAGUGAAUCACUCAAAAGUCCAACUUAUUGCAUUGAAUAUAAACUUAAUCUGUGAUACAUUUGAAAUCAAUUACAAAUAGCGAAAACAAAACAUUUAAUUCACACUUAAGUGUGUUCUUUUAAAGUAUAUUACUUGCUCACUGUAACCCGCUGCACAAAGUACUGCAGACACGAUGGAUUCUGCGUAUGUCCCAGCUUUUCAGGAGUUCAGGUUUGCCUACGGAGAAUAAGGAGCUCAACAACAACAAUGAAUCACUCAGACACGACUUCAAGGACUUCAAAUGAAAACUAAAGAAAAACUCAAAUGGCAAUUUCAAUCACCAUUCACCACAACUUCACAUCUGUUAAUGAAGCUAAUCUUUUUGUUUUCUCCUUUUUGAGGUUUCAACUUAUUCCUUUGUUCACUCUGGAAGAGGUAAAAUAAAAUAAAAUGGGGACUGUAUCCUUUUCUUUUUUCACAUUAAAAUAAAUAAAAUUAAAUAAAUCUGUAUUAAUAACUCAGUGUGUUCACUCUUUUUUGAAAUUUAAGGAAUAAGUUUCCCUUCCUUGUCUCGAACUUGUAAAAUAGGAAAAAUAAGAAAGAAAGGAAAUAACAAAUACACUUGAUCAAAUUAGAAAAAAAAAAAAAAAAAACAA
Molecule: long non-coding RNA, 879 nt
Organism: Ctenopharyngodon idella (grass carp)
Lineage: Eukaryota; Metazoa; Chordata; Actinopteri; Cypriniformes; Xenocyprididae
Exons: 2
Source: RefSeq, a predicted model, not a curated record